Molecule: long non-coding RNA, 243 nt
Organism: Prunus dulcis (almond)
Lineage: Eukaryota; Viridiplantae; Streptophyta; Magnoliopsida; Rosales; Rosaceae
Exons: 2
Source: RefSeq, a predicted model, not a curated record
AGGUGACAUAGUUGGUGGAUGGUGUUAGGUGAGAUUGAAUCUUAGCCACCAAUAUGUUAGGUGAGAUUGAAUCUUAGCCACCCAACAUGUUAGGUGAGAUUGAAUCUUAGCCACCCAUUAUGGUGGUAGGUGGGAUAGAAAGUGUAUAUAAGGAGGAUGUCACAUUGUGAAUCCUCACCUCACAACUUGUAAAGCAUUGAGUAGCAAUACAAGCAUAUAUUCUCCCAAACAUUCUUGAGUGUU